CCAAUAGCGUAUAUUAAAGUUGCUGCAGUUAAAAAGCUCGUAGUUGAAUUUCGGGAUCAAUAUAUCGGUCGUGCCAUUGGUACGUACUGGUAUCAUUGGUUUCUCCUUUCUGACGAACCAUGAUGUCAUUAAUUUGGUGUUAUGGGAAGUUAGGACUGUUACUUUGAAAAAAUUAGAGUGUUUAAAGCAGGCUUUAGCUUGAAUACAUUAGCAUGGAAUAAUGAAAUAGGACGUUCGAACCUAUUUUGUUGGUUUCUAGGAUCAACGUAAUGAUUAAUAGGGAUAGUUGGGGGCAUUAGUAUUCAAUUGUCAGAGGUGAAAUUCUUGGAUUUAUUGAAGACUAACUACUGCGAAAGCAUUUGCCAAGGAUGUUUUCAUUAAUCAAGAACGAAAGUUAGGGGAUCGAAGACGAUCAGAUACCGUCGUAGUCUUAACCAUAAACUAUGCCGACUAGGGAUCGGAUGAUGUUAAUUUUUUAAUGACUCAUUCGGCGCCUUACG
RNAcentral lists this ribosomal RNA (500 nucleotides) under uncultured Glomeromycotina. RNAcentral's name for it is "partial small subunit ribosomal RNA". It matches the Rfam family "Eukaryotic small subunit ribosomal RNA", at positions 591 to 1092 of the family's 1831-position model. The record is from RNAcentral. Lineage: Eukaryota; Fungi; Glomeromycota.